UUAACUAUUAUAUAGUACUCAGACAUCACUAAAAACAAGAGUUGUGGUCCUCUGGCGGGCACUCAACAGCCGAAGCCGCUGGCACGAGGCGGCCCGCCAAAGCAACAAAGGUAAUAUAUUCAAGGGUGGAGUUCCAGACCGAGCUUCUCUGAGAGGCCCGACGACUCUAAACUCUACCGAAGUAGGGUAGCCCCAAGAAGCAAGCUUCGAGGGCGCUGUCUGUCUGUUUCUCUAUUAAUGAUCCUUCCGCAGGUUCACCUACGGAAA
RNAcentral lists this unclassified non-coding RNA (267 nucleotides) under uncultured fungus. Its description in RNAcentral is "sequence contains ITS1". Lineage: Eukaryota; Fungi. The record is from RNAcentral.